This is a long non-coding RNA of Cyprinus carpio (common carp), 319 nucleotides long. RefSeq lists it as uncharacterized. The record is from RefSeq and is a predicted model, not a curated record. Lineage: Eukaryota; Metazoa; Chordata; Actinopteri; Cypriniformes; Cyprinidae. The transcript is spliced from 3 exons.
ACUGUGAGGCAAAGCUGGAUUUGAGAAAAUGAAUUGCUGAGAUGAUUUAUAACUCACUCUGUGGACCUGCAUCUGCUUUUAGAUGAAACCACGGCCUUCAGAAUGAAUCUCUCUGAAGAAAAUGAAACAAAGAUAAAGACAGUCAAGAGUCUGUGUGAGAGUGAAUCUCCUGAACCCAGCUGUCUGUCCAUGAAGAGUGACCGGUCAAUGCAUCGUCCAGUUAAUUUCAACUCUGGAGACUCAUCUGCUGAUCUGAGUCAAAAACAUGAAGGAGAAGAAUCAAAUACAGUAAAGAAGAACUUGGAUUCCAUUUUCAAGG